GCUUUCCCCGUUACAGGCUCACCUACACGCCCCUCUACAGCCCUCUUAAACUAUCCGACACCCUUUUCGUGUGCACCCCGCCACCCCCACCCCCAGCGCCCGCGCACGCUUGACUCGACUCGCUUAUCCCCAUAGUCGCGCUCUACCCAUUCCUUCACUACCCCCUCCCCCUCUAAACACUUAUCUCCCCCGCUUGUAAACCAUGGGAGCCUACUGCACGAAGGACUCCGCAAAGGAGCCCCAGAAGCGUGCUGAUAACAUCCAUAAAACCACUGAGGCCAAUCACGGAGGCGCCACUGGUGUGCCCCCGAAGCACACCGGCAGUGCGAUGAACGACUCUGCCCCGAAGGAGGACGGCCAUACACAGAAAAAUGACGGCGAUGGCCCUAAGGAGGACGGCCAUACACAGAAAAAUGACGGCGAUGGCCCGAAGGAGGACGGCCAUACACAGAAAAAUGACGGCGAUGGCCCUAAGGAGGACGGCCAUACACAGAAAAAUGACGGCGAUGGCCCUAAGGAGGACGGCCAUACACAGAAAAAUGACGGCGAUGCCCCUAAGGAGGACGGCCGUACACAGAAAAAUGACGGCGAUGGCCCUAAGGAGGACGGCCAUACACAGAAAAAUGACGGCGAUGGCCCUAAGGAGGACGGCCAUACACAGAAAAAUGACGGCGAUGGCCCUAAGGAGGACGGCCGUACACAGAAAAAUGACGGCGUGGCCCUAAGGAGGACGGCCAUACACAGAAAAAUGACGGCGAUGGCCCUAAGGAGGACGGCCAUACACAGAAAAAUGACGGCGAUGGCCCUAAGGAGGACGGCCAUACACAGAAAAAUGACGGCGAUGCCCCUAAGGAGGACGGCCGUACACAGAAAAAUGACGGCGAUGGCCCUAAGGAGGACGGCCAUACACAGAAAAAUGACGGCGAUGGCCCUAAGGAGGACGGCCAUACACAGAAAAAUGACGGCGAUGCCCCUAAGGAGGACGGCCGUACACAGAAAAAUGACGGCGAUGGCCCUAAGGAGGACGGCCAUACACAGAAAAAUGACGGCGAUGGCCCUAAGGAGGACGGCCGUACACAGAAAAAUGACGGCGAUGGCCCUAAGGAGGACGGCCAUACACAGAAAAAUGACGGCGAUGGCCCUAAGGAGGACGGCCGUACACAGAAAAAUGACGGCGAUGCCCCUAAGGAGGGUGAGAAUCUGCAGCAAAACGAUGGGGAUGCGCAGGAGAAGAACGAAGAUGGACACAACGUGGGGGAUGGAGCUAACGGCAAUGAGGAUGGUAACGAUGAUCAGCCGAAGGAGCAGGUUGCCGGCAACUAGUGCACUGCGUCCGGGCUUGUGUGCGAGCUGUGCUCUGCACCCCGCCGUUCGUGCAUCCUCGCAUGUGGACCGCGUGUGUGUCUCCCGCUUUAUCUCUCUUCCCCGCACAGUGGCUGAUGCCUGCACGGGGUCGCUGUGGCUGCACCUGCUGACCACUGCCAGCGUUCUCGGCUCGCCCUCCUCUCUCCGCCUCCGAGUGUGCGGUACGGGCUGGCCUGGGCGCGCCGCGGAUGUCGUCGGUGCGUGCGGGGUCAUCGCCGAGAGUUUGGCACCUGGGCUGCUGCUACGCAACUGUGGCCAGGCCAGGCCCUGCCUCUGUGUGUGCUGUGAUCGCCGGCUCUAGCUUCACGCUCGCUGCCCCUGCGUGGACGGUCUUUGUUUCUUGUUUCUUUUCGAUUGCCUCUGCACACGCGCAUAUCCUCCUCCCUGCCCACCCCUCCACCUCUACCUUCAUGUGUGCCGGAGCGAGCACUUCUCCUACUAGCUUAUUGCGCUGCCACUGCCGCCGCCUCUAGUGCGUCUCUCUCCCCUCGCAUCUUUUCCCUCGCUUUCUGCUCACUGCUCUGCAUGGUGUUUGUUCGGCUGUACUUGUACUACACGCAUGCGUGUAGUACGAAGAAAAGGGCUGCUCGGGUUGUCUCUCCGCGUGUUUGUGUUUUUGUUGCCGUGUGGGCGAUAUAUCCGGCUUCGACACGAUGCACGCCCGCCCUUCCCCAUUUGAAGGACGCUCUCUUUCCUCCGUCACUGCGCCUCUCUCCUUGCUUAUGAUCUCGCUCUGUGUUUCCUGUCUUUCAAGUGAGUCUCUUCUUGGGCUCUCCCCCUUCUUUCCUUGUCCUUUGCGCAUGUUUGUCGCUCCCUUCCGUUUUGCUAUUUUGAAGGCAGCGAGCGGCGGCCGCGGCAUGCUGAGAUGAGGUGCGGCGUGUGUCUGUCUGUGCGCCUCUCUCUUCCCGUGUCUGUCGGUCCCCCACGGCUGCCCUCGUCUCCGCACACGAGUCUGCCGUGGCGGGAGUGCUGUACUGCGCCGUAG
RNAcentral lists this unclassified non-coding RNA (2350 nucleotides) under Leishmania donovani. Its description in RNAcentral is "gene:unknown". Lineage: Eukaryota; Euglenozoa; Kinetoplastea; Trypanosomatida; Trypanosomatidae. The record is from RNAcentral.